Molecule: long non-coding RNA, 4167 nt
Filed under: Sus scrofa (pig)
Lineage: Eukaryota; Metazoa; Chordata; Mammalia; Artiodactyla; Suidae
Description: lncRNA (ENSSSCG00000061593.1)
Source: RNAcentral
AAACAAGACAUCUGCAGGUAGGUAGUAGCUCCAUGACAUCAUCCGUGUCUCUCAGGGUCUUUUUAUCUUUCCACUCCAACUUCCCUAGCAAAGUUGCGAUAAUUGCUUCACAGUCAUAGACUGGCUGCUGGAUCUCUAGAUAUUCCCAAAAUAUGCACAAGAAAAAAGGGGAAAGUAUGCGUGAGUUUUGUUCCAUUCUACUCAGAAUGCUCUCAGCAGACUUUCACUUACAUUUUAUAGUUUCUAGAACUAAAGGACAUGUCUGCAUCUACCUGCCAGGGAGGCUAAACAAGUAUUUGGCUUUUCAGCCUCUAGAGGAGGAGAGAGCUGGGGAGAGAAGGAGGUUGGAUAAAAUAAUCAGCAGUGUCUGCUGGGAGCAUUUUAUAAAGUGCUAACUCUGGGUAAAUGUUGAUUCCUAGUGUUUUAGUUGAAAGUUUCUUGAAAGUAAAUCAGUCACUCAAUAGAUGGUAGACAGAAUUAGUAGAAUAUAUAACAAGUGAAAGUUAAAAUGCUAGCUUAUUUAGAGGGAUGUCUAAUUUCUACUAUAUCACUAUGGUAAACCACUAGGUCAUAACUGUUAUCUUUCUCACAGGAAAGCGUGUCCAAAACAGGCCUCCAAGUGAAAUGCCACAAAAAGCAAGGAUUAAUUGGGCACCAUUUCCUACUCUUGUCAUCAUGUUUUACAAGCAGAUGAAAUAAUUUGUGCCCUUUCUCAGCCCCUUUUUAGUAUUUGUCAGUAGAAUGGAACGUCAAAAAGGACUUACAGGGCCUAAAAUGUUUAGAAAUUUAAAUAGUACGCAGCAGUACCAUGACCUUUUCAAUAUGCUGGAUUUUCAAUUGUUCAGCCAUUCCUCUUGUUCUUUUCCCUGACUCUUCUUUAUGAGAGGAAAAGGUGAAUUAGCACCUUAAGUAAGGAGUAUUCAUGGGAACAAAACAGCACAUCAUUAAAACAAUUCAGAGGCAAUCCUGCACUGCUUCAGAGUGGCAGGGGAACAAAAGAGGGUAACUUUACCAAUUAUGACAAGGCUAGGGAAAUACUUGUAGAACCUUGCCUUUCCAAUUUUCCCCUUAUGUGUUCUGUAGGUACCCAGGUCUGCGUAUAAAUGUCUAUUCCUAAUCAAUAUGUGACCCUGCCUAUUUCAAGAAUAAAAACUAUGAAAACCCCCAAAGAGAUUGCUGUUCUGCUUCUCUGAAGGGAAAUAGUUGUUUUAGUGUCAUGGCUCCGUGAGAUUUCUUGGAAGAAGCCUUCUAGGGAUGGCCAAGCCCUUCCUCCUGGUGUCCCUGGCACUCUGAAUGUAUUCCCAUGUAGAAAUUACCACAUGGUGUCGUAAGUCUAUUCACCCACUUGGUCUCCCAGGUAGGUGUCAAUUACAUGCUAGAACACAGGAGGAAUUCGCAAAAUGUUGGCCUAAUAAAUGCUACCCUGUGCCAAGGAGCAGGCUAGGUCUGUAGCCAAGAGGUCUUCUCACCUGCUAGUCAGAGGUUCUCCAUCUCUGAAGAGACUUGAGGAAAUGGCAGGCAUGUUGGAUGUGUGACAGCCUUCUCCACAAACCCCAAGUUUUAUCCCAAAGCUGAUUUGGGUACAGCUCUCCCUAUACUAUAGAAUUGUACUACCUAAGAAUUCCACAGAUGCAAGCAGCUAUCAAGCCUCUCUGCUACUUUUUUACAGGGAAAGAGAAGGUAGGUAUUAUUUUUAGAUACUACUGGUACUUUCGCAAAUUAAAAUAAAAUUUAAAAACCCAGAUCUCAUACUUGUAUUUUUAUACUUUUCCUUUUUUGCUUCAUUCCCCAGAGGUGGGUAGCUCCAGAAACUGAUAGCCAAGGGUGAUUAGGCAGAGCCAAUCUCAAAACGUGUUUGCGCAGACAUGCUAGACAGGUGUCUGAGCAGAGCGGGUGCUGGCAUGUGGGAUUACAUACAGAAGGGGGGAACCACUAUUUUUCUAGAUUUGUUUUAAAAAUGGAGGGAGGGGCAAACUGUAGCACAUGUAACAGUGAAUGAUAAAGCAAAUUAUAUUAGUUAAGGGAGAGGCCUCUGGAGGGAAGGAUGAAAGUUCCAUACCAGGGCUGCCACUGUCUAGUUAUGUGGCCUUGGUUAGUUAACUUCUCUAAUCCUUCGUUUCCAUCUCUGUAGAAUGGGGAUGAUAACAGUACCUACAUCAUGGGGAGCUGUCAGGAGAAUGAGAGGUGAUGUACAGGGUUCGGCUACUGCUAAGUUCUCAAUGAGCAUUAGCUGUGAAUAUGAGCUCUUUACUAUGUGACAGUGGCCAGCCACUGCUCUUCAAGGAGGCUGAACAUAUAUAGACUAGAGAGAGUGCAAGAGUCAGGAGACCUGAGCUUAGACUCAGCUCUGUGACAAACCACAGACUUCAUGCUAGACAGUUCAUCUGGCUUCAGUUUUCUCAUCUAAUAAAUGAGAAAUGUUUGGAUGAAUCACUUCCAACUUGACUGUUAUAGAGACUCCAGAUUCUAGCAACCAGUGUAAGAGAAUCUUAAGACUUAGUUCCGAGUGUCUUCUAUGAGAUUGGAUGUAGCAAAGAUCCAUUUCCUGGGAGCAUUCUUUGACAGAUACAGGCUUUAAGCCUGUAGGAGGCCCAUGCUCACAAAAAAGGAAUGCAUAUUUCCAAAGCAUAACUAUGGCCAACCCACAAAUGAGCAAAGGACACAACCAUCCUAACUGCCUCCCAACCUCUCCACAGCUCUGAAAGACACUUUUUUGGGUUCAUGGAUCCAGUUCCAAGGUGGGGGAUGGGUUCCUGCACAAUACCAAGAAAUUCUUGGACACAAGCAGGGUAUCCGAGAAUUCAACUCAAUUCUGACGCUACCCAGAGAUAGCAUCAGAUUCCACAGGUUAAGGGCUCAGUCCUACAAAAUGCCUCCCCACAAUGGCAUCCCCAACUACAGACACCUUCCAUAAGUCCAGGUUGUCAUCUGUACUGAUCAAAAAGCUAUAGAUUAGAAGUUCCCUUCACUCCUCUCUCAGAUUUGAUAAUUUGUUAGUGAGGCUCACAGAACUCAGGGAAACACACUUAAAUCUAUCAGUUUACUAAAGGAUAUGGUAAAGAAUACAGAUGAACAUCCACAUGGAAGAGAUGUAUAGGUCAAGGUACAUUGGGAGAGCUAUAGAGCUUCUAUGCCCUCUCUGGGCCCACCCUCAAAUGCCUAUUUUCCUUGGUUACUGCCAGGUCAUAACCAGGACACCUUUCUCAUUACACUUGCUGUCUAGCUUUUGUUCUAAUAAUGCUUUAUUUGUCUCCCUGCUCUAAUCUCCCAUUCUUCCCCACCAAACUCUUUCCUUCAACCCUUUACAACUCCUUUUCCAUGGCUCCAAAUCCUCAACCUUCCUUCAGUCUCUUCACCUGCAAAGACAUUUGGCUAUUGCCCUAUAAAACCACUGGUCCUAUAAUCUUCAUGAAUGGAGGCUGCUUUUUCUCUUCCACAUCCUGUGUAGCUCAGCAGUGGAAAGUAAAGUCUGCAGCCCAGUACUUCUGCCUCUAGUUUCUUACAAAUGAAAACUCCUUUCUCUCUGAAGCUCGUGACAGGCUCUCUCUGAAGACACAAUCCCCAUCUUUGGCUUCUCCUCACUCAUUAACUGGUGACUUUGGCAACCAGCUCACUGUCUCCCUCUCUACUCCAAUUCCUUCCACUAUUCUGUGGAAUUCAAAGGUGCAUGUGGCUUGCCUGCCCAGCAUACCGCCUCUAAGGUCCAUAACUGCUGCUGCCCAAAUAUCUCCUCUCUAGCUGAAUCACUCAGUUUCAUUUUCAUAUCUUGUACCUUGUCAUGCCCUGAAAUUCUGCCACUUCCCAAAUUUAUAAUUACAACUCCUAUGCUUCAGUCACAACUCCUUAUUUUUUAAGAUCGACCAUUCACUUACUUCCUCUAUAAUUAAUCAUCUACUGUAUCAAAACAGUCAGUAGCUUAACGCAUCUGCUUUCUAUUUACUCAUGUGCCUCCUCUUGCUUGACCUCCCUUCUAAUUAAGCUUAGAUAUCAUAGUCCAUAAUUUUGUAUCCACUUGAAAAAAUCUAAUCCCCCCCAUAAUUCACUAUCUGAUUUUUGCAUCUAUGCUUGAACUGCUGAGAAAGUUGUAGAAAAAGAAAUUAUAUAACCUGGCAAACUGAUGUUGGUAUCAACCCAUGCUUUCUAUUAACCAGGGUAGACAAGGUUAUG